GCUGAUAGUGACACCUGAGCAGCAUAAACAGUUUCUGGGCUUUAGCACAGUCUGUUAUUGGUGCAGAAAGAUGGAGUUUGCUAUAGGCAAAAUGUUUUUUCUUUUUUCGUGCUGUUUUGCCUCUGGGUCUGGGUGAUGCUGCUUUGGUCAGUGGGACCCUCUGUCCCAAACUCUGCUGUGUUCCACCUUGGUGUGGAACACUUUGGUUUUUGUAGGAACCCUGCUGGCCAUGAGGCUGGGCCAUAUCCCUGUGUGUUCUGGAGCUGAGAGCUGCCCUUGGGAUGUUUGGUUUCUGCCACAGUCACUGUGUGUCUCUUUGGAGCAAGACACUGAAGUGCCUCAAAAAUACAGGCCUCCGUGAUCCGUAUCAGAGAAGUGUCUCCCAAUCACCAGAGUGAUGACAAACCCUGGGAGCAGCCCGUGCUGCAGAGCUGGGAGACUUUUCCAACAGGCUGGAGCUGCUGCAUUCCAAACAGACGUGGAGAAAAUGUGUUCUCCCUUUUGUGCCUGUAUGCUGAAAAACUGAAACUUUCCCCCUGAACUCAAUGUCGUUCUGCUGCCUCAGGCAACUACUAGAGUUUCUUUUCAUCUAUUUAAGGACCUCUUCCCAUCACUCUUACCAGAAAUUUUUAUAAGAGAGGGUCUGUUUUCAUCUGAGAGACGGUGCUCACUCCUCAUUCCCGCUUCAGCUCAGAAUGGUCCAGUGAAAUCACUAUCAUUUCUGCAGAAAUUUAGAUUAGACUCCACAAAGCAAACACAGACCCCUACGGCAGCAGUGGGCUUGCCUGUGAAGUUUAAAACCUCCAGCACUUUCCCAGCACAACCUUUUGUGCAGGAUAACCUGGACCUUCCCUGCAAGGAGGCUGAUGGGAAGAACAGUUCUAAAAAUGCACACAUGAGCUUUGCCACGGAGCUGUGAGAGCUGUGGGUCAGGGGGUGUGUGCCCCACAGCUGGGGACACUUUGCAGGCUGCUAAUUCCCUCCUGUCAGCCUUUCUAGCAGUUUCUGAGCCACAAUCAGAGUGGUCCCCCUGUCGUUUCCCCAGUCUCCUACAGGGUGAAGGCAAUUAGAUGGGAAUAAUUCAUUUUGUUGGUACCAAAUCAGAGCAGCUGGAGAGCAGGGUCAGAACACCUGCCAGGGUUCCUGCCUCUCUCUGAGGUUCAGGACCUCGGUCCAUUUGGGCUCAGGGCCCCUGGGAGCUGUGGGCACCCACACCUGGAUGGCUCUGGGCAGGGCAGUGUCCUGUGAGAUGUCACAUGGAGAUCCCAGCCUGCCUGCAGAGGCUCUGGUGUGACACAUUCUGCCACUGCAUCUCACGUGGGGUGGGCAAGGGGGACAUCCCUGGCAUCUGCUGUCCUUGCAGCACAGCCCAGGGAGGGAGGUACUGCUGGGCUGAGCUCUGCAGAGGAUUUACACACUCAGGGACAGCCCAGGUGGGCUCUGCCUCACCCACAGCGCAGUGACAAUGAUGUACGUGCUGCACUCACCCUGCAGGCCAUGAAGAUGGCCUGGGUAGCAUUUGGCAAUUCACAGGGCUGACAGUGAGUGCUCAAUAAAAGAGACAUCAGCACAAAAUACAAUUUGGAAAUUACAUCUGUGCCUUCAAAUGGACACAUGGAUUGCUUGGGAGCUCUGGAGCCAAGCACGCAGGAGUGUGUGCACGUUGCUUUUUGCCCAAGAUUGCUCUGAAGGUCCUGUUCCAACACGUCCCACAAUUACCUUCUCAGAGAACUAAUAGGAGCACUAGAUAAGUAUCCGAAUUGCAACACUUUGUGCUCAUAAAAUUAAAGCUUAUUAUGCUGAUUAAUGACUAAUGAGAUGCAUGCAAAUAAAAAGUGCAAAGUUCUCCUCGUUCCUCAGUAUUGCUGCUGCCCCACUUUGAGCCUGCCCUAAGCUUUGACAUCUGACACUACAAUGUUUGUAUUUUUUACUCCUGCUUUGCAAUGGUUUGAGUUUUCCAGCUCUGUUCCUCCAUGUAAGCCUGUUUUCCCAGUAAGCAAGUGCCAGUGAUAACCCAGGUGCAGAUUUUAUAAAAUAAAACAUAUAAAGGAAAGAAUCCUUAAAACUGGCUUUUUCUUCUGGGGUCUGGUAAGAAACCAUCUCAUUUUAGUCUGUUUUUUGUCUGUGAUGAGUGCUAAUGCCAUG
Long non-coding RNA from Prinia subflava (tawny-flanked prinia), 2145 nucleotides. RefSeq lists it as uncharacterized. The record is from RefSeq and is a predicted model, not a curated record. NCBI's taxonomy places the organism in Eukaryota, Metazoa, Chordata, Aves, Passeriformes, Cisticolidae. The transcript has 3 exons.